Syngnathus acus (greater pipefish) is the source of this 315-nucleotide long non-coding RNA. RefSeq lists it as uncharacterized. The record is from RefSeq and is a predicted model, not a curated record. The transcript is spliced from 3 exons. Lineage: Eukaryota; Metazoa; Chordata; Actinopteri; Syngnathiformes; Syngnathidae.
ACGAAUUGGUUCCGUCUCCGUCUUACACGUUUGUUGACAAAGAGCCGAGAUGCUUGGGACCUGAAUGGGAGGAGUUUGCGGACUUUUGCUACAAACGUUUUGAUGAGAGAAAGACGUGGUACGGCGCUCGACAAGCCUGCUCCUGUCUGAAGGCCAAGCUGGUGUCCAUUCGGUCCAAGGUUGAGCGGGAUUGGCUGCAAGACCUCCUGACGAUAGCCCCCGGCAACACGUGGAUCGGACUGAACGCCCUGGUCAUUCCCGGCAAAUUCGCGUGGUCGGACCACCAGAAGGUGACCUUAACCAACUGGGCUCCGG